This 74-nucleotide transfer RNA is filed under the name Podarcis lilfordi (Lilford's wall lizard). RNAcentral describes it as "tRNA.Ile". The record is from RNAcentral. Lineage: Eukaryota; Metazoa; Chordata; Lepidosauria; Squamata; Lacertidae.
GCCUAGAUAGCUCAGUUGGUUAGAGCGUAGUGCUGAUAACGUCAAGGUUGCAGGCUUGAUCCCCAUGUGGGACA